CAAAAUAUUAUAAUCAUAAUAAUUAGGGCCUGCGAGACCCGAUACAUACUCAUGCAAUUUAAUGCUUCAUUUCCAUUUCAUUCAAUUCGCAAUUUCUCAUGCUCAUAAUUUAAAUCAUAUCACUAGCAAUUUCCAUUUAAUUCACGUACAAUUCAAUGACAUCAAGUUCAAAACUAAUACGUAUUUACCAUUUAACUCAAUGUUUAUUGAUUAUACCAUUCAAUAACACAUUUAUGAAAUUCUCAAUUUUGCAAUGAAAAUAUCACUUUAGUUUGAAUAACAACAUCGUCCUGAUAUAAAUACGCUACCACUUAUCCAUUUACUUUAAUUCUUUUGGGCCCAUUUGUCACUUACCAUCCUUAAUCAAAUUAGGGAACGGUCACGGAAAAUUGAGUACUUCACUUUCACUUUGCCAUAGUAUAACUAUGGUCUUACGUAUGAUCACUUAUCACUUGUCCCUGAUCAGAUAAGUGUAGCUAGGCUACCACUUAUCACUUUGCCACUUGAUCAGAUAAGUGUAGCACUUAUCACUUUGUCACUUGAUCAGAUAAGUGUAGCUAAAGCUACCACUUAUCACUUUGUCUCUUGAUCAGAUAAGUUUAGCACUUAUCACUUUGUCACUUGAUCAGAUAAGUAUAACCACUUAUCACUUUGUUUCUUGAUCAGAUAAGUGUAACCACUUAUCACUUUGUUUCUUGAUCAGAUAAGUGUAACCACUUAUCACUUUGUUUCUUGAUCAGAUAAGUGUAGCAACUUAUCACUUUGUCACUUGAUCAGAUAAGUGUAGCUAAAACUACCACUUAUCACUUUUUCACUUGAUCAGAAGUACUCAAAUCCGGCGUUCCGCUCAAUUUGACCAUUUAUUCAUAUAUCAGGCUUACCAACAUGUGUUAAUUCAUAAACCAUUCAUGACAUUAUUUCAUGCCACAUCAUAUAUUGAAUAUACCAUACACACAUACUAUGAAACUUUCUUUUCACACAUGCCAUGACCAAUAAUGCACAAAUAUAAGUAUAAUUCAUAUUUCAUCGUUUAUCAAUUAAAAUCAAGCAUAUGACCAAUUAUACACAAAUCAUUCAUAUAUUUCCCAAUUUUCCUCCUCCUCCUCUCCAUUCCACAUCCUUAAUGUGUAUAACACACUUAAACAACAUUAACCAUAAUUUCAAUAUUCACUAACAUAUAUAUAUUCAAAGCUGUUUAUCCGAGUCAAAGUCACUAAAUUAUUUUUAUCCAGAGCUAAAGAGCUCCAAAUUAAGAUCCGUUAAUUUUCCCUGAAACUAGACUCACAUAUCUUCAUACCAUAAAAUUUUCAGAAUUUUUGGUUCAGCCAAAUAGUACAGUUUAUUCUUUAAAGUUUCCCCUGUUUCGCUGUCUGACAGUUCCGACCACUCUUUACU
This 1395-nucleotide long non-coding RNA is filed under the name Gossypium raimondii (Peruvian cotton). RNAcentral's name for it is "long non-coding RNA (GRAI_LNC008833)". Lineage: Eukaryota; Viridiplantae; Streptophyta; Magnoliopsida; Malvales; Malvaceae. The record is from RNAcentral.